GAAUUUGAAGAUGCAGAAUCAACCUGAAGCAAACAUGCUAACUCGAUGUCAGGCAGGAGCCUGGAUUCUAUCUGCGUUCAUCUGACUCCAAAGCCUUUCCCUGUUGCCUUGCGGGGACUGAAGUAGUCACAUAAAAGCGUUCAAUUUUGCUGCUGCUUCCACACAUACUUGGAGUCUUCCUCUGAGGUCUGACCCCAAGAAUCAUACUGCAGACUCCCAAACAGCCAACAUGGAGGACAUCGCGGUUCCAAAGAGGCCAGCUAUGGGAUGUCCAGACAUAACUCCAGUGGUCCAGUGAUGCUGUGAUGCUUCAGGACAAGAUUACACCAGCUGAAAACAUCCUGGGAGGAACAAAAUCUUCAUCUGCAUAGUUCCUCAUUGUUCUAGGAUUUUCCCAGAUGCUGCCCUCUGAGCUAAAUGUUGUAUUUGUUCCUCCUGAUGCACUGAACUCUCUGUCCUGAGUCAUCUGUUAGAUUUGUUUCUUCCUAUAUACUGAACAAAGGUGUGGCAAGCUAGGGGCUUUCAUUCUUGCUGUGAUACUAGGAGUUGCUGCAGGGGUUCUAGUAACUUCCCAUUUCCCUGUUCUCUACAACCAAAUAUUGUUGCACAGGACACACUGAAUAUCCAAGGAGCUGCCUUUCAAAAUAAAUCU
Molecule: long non-coding RNA, 652 nt
Filed under: Heterocephalus glaber (naked mole-rat)
Lineage: Eukaryota; Metazoa; Chordata; Mammalia; Rodentia; Bathyergidae
Description: lncRNA (ENSHGLG00000039332.1)
Source: RNAcentral